GAUGAACGCUAGCCACAGGCCUAACACAUGCAAGUCACGGGGCAGCGGGGUAUCCGCUUCGGCGGUUACUGCCGGCGACCGGCGCUAGGGUGAGUAACGCGUACCCGACCUGCCCCUUGCCCGGGGCCAGCCCCCCGAAAGGGGGAUUAAUCCCCGGCGGUGUCCCGAAGCCGCAUGACAUCGGGACCGAAGGAGUGAUCCGGCAAGGGAUGGGGGUGCGUUCCAUUAGCUUGACGGCGGGGUAACGGCCCACCGUGGCUACGAUGGAUAGGGGUUCUGAGAGGAAGGCCCCCCACACUGGGACUGAGACACGGCCCAGACUCCUACGGGAGGCAGCAGUGAGGAAUAUUGGUCAAUGGGCGAGAGCCUGAACCAGCCAAGUGGCGUGGAGGACGACGGCCCUACGGGUUGUAAACUCCUUUUGGAGGGGAAUAAAGGUACCCACGCGUGGGUGUUUGCAUGUACCCUCCGAAUAAGCAUCGGCUAACUCCGUGCCAGCAGCCGCGGUAAUACGGAGGAUGCGGGCUUAUCCGGAUUUAUUGGGGCUUGAGGGGAGCGUAGACGGGAGGACAAGUCGGCCGUAAAAUUCCGGGGCUCAACCCCGGCGAGCGGUCGAAACUGCCCUUCUUGAGCCCGGCCGGGGCAGGCGGAAUUCGUGGUGUAGCGGUGAAAUGCUUAGAUAUCACGAAGAACUCCGAUCGCGAAGGCAGCCUGCCAGCCCGGCGCUGACGUUGAUGCUCGAAGGUGCGGGUAUCGAACAGGAUUAGAUACCCUGGUAGUCCGCACGGUAAACGAUGGACACCCGCCGUGGGCGACACACUGUCCGCGGCCAAGCGAAAGCGUUAAGUGUCCCGCCUGGGGAGUACGCCGGCAACGGUGAAACUCAAAGGAAUUGACGGGGGCCCGCACAAGCGGAGGAACAUGUGGUUUAAUUCGAUGAUACGCGAGGAACCUUACCCGGGCAUGAACGGGGAGCGUCGCUGCCUGGAAACGGGCGGUUUUCCCUUCGGGGGCGCUUUCCGAGGUGCUGCAUGGGUUGUCGUCAGCUCGUGCCGUGAGGUGUCGGCUUAAAGUGCCAUAACGAGCGCAACCCCUGCGUCCAGUUGCCAUCGCGUGGCGGCGGGGAAUCUUGAACGGACUGCCGGCGCAAGCCGCGAGGAAGGGGGGAACGACGUUAAAAUCGGCCGGGCCCUUUACUUCCGGGGCGACACACGUGUUACAAUGGCGCGCAACAGCGGGGAGCGACCGGGCGACCGGGAGCGGAUCCCGAAACCGCGUCACAGUUCGGAUUGGAGCCUGCAACCCGGCUCCAUGAAGCUGGAUUCGCUAGUAAUCGCGCAUCAGCCAUGGCGCGGUGAAUACGUUCCCGGGCCUUCUACACACCCCCCGCCAAGCCAAGAAAGCCGGGGGUACCUCAAGUGCGUCACCGCGAGGGGCCCCCUAGGGUAAAACCGGUGAUUGGGGCUA
This 1467-nucleotide ribosomal RNA is filed under the name uncultured bacterium. RNAcentral's name for it is "bacterial SSU rRNA". It matches the Rfam family "Bacterial small subunit ribosomal RNA". The record is from RNAcentral.